Molecule: long non-coding RNA, 462 nt
Organism: Ornithodoros turicata
Lineage: Eukaryota; Metazoa; Arthropoda; Arachnida; Ixodida; Argasidae
Exons: 4
Source: RefSeq, a predicted model, not a curated record
ACGAAGACAGAGCCUUGUCUGAUUCCCCUCGCGGCGCCAUUCUGAAGUCCGGUUAUUAGGGCUAUAGUCCCUGCAGAGCAGCCUAUCAGUACAGGCGGGAAAAGAAAUAAGCCGCCCACCAGGGACACAGACACAAAACGCUACAGCGCGGGGCCGUUGGCGCUAAAAGCCACGUGACGUCCCCUUGUUCUCUCACCAGAAACCGUUACUGACGGACCUACACAUCUGUCGACGGUGCUAGAUCCUGUAAAGCUGAACGGCUUGCCAUUGAAAAGAGGAUCUCCUGGCCUACAAGAAGAGCAGUACAGGCGUCAGGAUCAACGGGAGCGCCAGAAGCGGCAAGCCGGAUACGAGGCUGGAAUAUGCUCCAAUUCUCCACCAGGGGCGCCACUAGCUGCUGGAUCUGAACGUGUCCUUCUCCCGUAACCUGAAAAGGCCAAAUACAAAAACUAUACCAAUCAC